Molecule: non-coding RNA, 695 nt
Organism: Paramisgurnus dabryanus
Lineage: Eukaryota; Metazoa; Chordata; Actinopteri; Cypriniformes; Cobitidae
Source: RefSeq, a predicted model, not a curated record
CACAAGUUAACUUAACCGGCGGCGGAGAAUUGCGGAGCCGCGGCGUCUACUCUGUCACUGAGAGGCAGGGACAAGCAGCACAUUCACUUCACAGUCGAGAGUGCAGAGUUUUUAUGUCCAUCCAUUAAUGAGGCUAGCAAGACCUUCAUACAACUUCAGCCAAUUGCAACAAAUGUGGUGGAAGUUCUUCUCUGGACAGAAUCCUCGAAAUCCUUUCCUUUAUUUCCUGGCCAUGGGAAACAUGCAACAGAUCUCUCAAUCUUUUUUCUCAAUCAGUCUCUCUGAUGGAGCCAAUACGGAAGUGACUUAAACUGCAAUUCGGCCAAGAUGGCGACGGCACGCACCGCCUACUUUAGGCUUCAAAAAUGCUCUUCACAAUCAAUGGGUGACAUCACGGACACUACUUUCAUAUUUUUUUUCAGUCUAUGGUUUAAAGGCAUUUUACGUGCUUGAAAAUAAAUACCCCAGGCAAUGUGCAUCUACUGUAGUCUGUCAUUUUCCAAAUGGAUGAAUCCUCUGCUGUUCGGUUCCUUUGUACAUCUUUGUUCGUGAGGAGUAACUUUAAUAAAUGAAGUAUUUUUAGUCAAAUACAUUCCAUACUCUGAAACUUGGAACAUCUGUUCUGUAAAAAACUUUACACAUCUGUAAAUGAUUUUACUUUUAAUUUAACAAUUACAUUGUUUCUUUUCUUACAA